This 118-nucleotide ribosomal RNA is filed under the name Lepisosteus oculatus (spotted gar). Lineage: Eukaryota; Metazoa; Chordata; Actinopteri; Semionotiformes; Lepisosteidae. The record is from RNAcentral.
GCCAGCAGCCAUAUCACCCUGCUGCUCGCCACUGUCAGCCCACUGGAGCUCAGCAGGUGUGAGUCUGGUCAGUACCUGGAUGGGAGACCUCCUGGGAAAGCUAAGGCUGCUGCUGGAN